GAUGAACGCUAGCUACAGGCUUAACACGUGCAAGUCGAGGGGCAGCAUGACGAUAGCUUGCUAUUGUUGAUGGCGACCGGCGCACGGGUGAGUAACGCGUAUCCAACCUGCCCUUGUCCAUCGGAUAACCCGUCGAAAGGCGGCCUAACACGAUAUGCAGUUCUCCGCAGGCAUCUAACGAGAACGAAAUGCAAAGGAGAAGGAUGGGGAUGCGUCUGAUUAGCUUGUUGGCGGGGUAACGGCCCACCAAGGCGACGAUCAGUAGGGGUUCUGAGAGGAAGGUCCCCCACAUUGGAACUGAGACACGGUCCAAACUCCUACGGGAGGCAGCAGUGAGGAAUAUUGGUCAAUGGGCGAGAGCCUGAACCAGCCAAGUAGCGUGCAGGACGACGGCCCUAUGGGUUGUAAACUGCUUUUAUGCGGGGAUAAAGUGAGCCACGUGUGGCUUAUUGCAGGUACCGCAUGAAUAAGGACCGGCUAAUUCCGUGCCAGCCGCCGCGGUAA
RNAcentral lists this ribosomal RNA (504 nucleotides) under uncultured bacterium. RNAcentral's name for it is "partial 16S ribosomal RNA". It matches the Rfam family "Bacterial small subunit ribosomal RNA", at positions 28 to 523 of the family's 1533-position model. The record is from RNAcentral.